CCUUCACAACGUUUAGUUUCCGUCACCAUAACGCUCCUCCCCUAUAAAUCCCCUCCUCAAUCUCUCUCUCUCUUCCACAAAUCACACCAACAAUCAUUCUCCCCUUACAAUCAUUCAUUCUUCAAUCCCACAAUCACAGACACUCAAAUCUCCGAAGAUGAUGAUGAAACUAUCUCUACUCUCUAUAUUGGUUUUCUCUCUGUCACAUUUCCAUGUGGUGCGAUCAGACAAUGCGCCGGCUCCUGCUCCUGCUCCCAAACUCGCAAACCCGCCUCCAACGCCUCCUCCCGCGGCUUCUCCGGCACUUACUCCGACCGCUUCUCCUCCGGCAUCCCCUCCGACUCACUCUCCUCCGCCUGCGGCUUCCCCAAAAUCCUCUCCACCAACUUCGACUCCUCCGGCCGCCGCGCCGACCGUCUCGCCGGCAACUCCUCCUCCGGCGUCACCCGUUUCUCCAGCGGCUAGCCCGUCCGCAAAUGGGUCGUCGCCGGUUCAAGCCCCGGCCACGCAGCCGCCGACUGUGGCCUCUCCCGUUGCGACUCCGGUGAGCGCUCCGAAGUCAAGCCCAUCUGGGGCUCCGCCGGUUGCAGAGACUCCCGAGACUGCGGCGACCCCAUCAUCGUCGAGCAUUCCUUCGUCUGCAACCCCGUCGGAGUCGCCGGCGAUGUUCCCGUCGAGCAGUAGCCCACCAAGUCCGACGCCGGCGGGUCUGUCGCCUGAGGGCGCGGCGGCGAGUCCCGCUAGUGAUGAUACGUCGGGUUCGGAGCCC
This 769-nucleotide long non-coding RNA is filed under the name Rosa chinensis. RNAcentral's name for it is "sRNA RchiOBHm_Chr5g0053691". The record is from RNAcentral. Lineage: Eukaryota; Viridiplantae; Streptophyta; Magnoliopsida; Rosales; Rosaceae.